This 2904-nucleotide ribosomal RNA is filed under the name Escherichia coli. Its description in RNAcentral is "23S ribosomal RNA". It matches the Rfam family "Bacterial large subunit ribosomal RNA". The record is from RNAcentral. Lineage: Bacteria; Pseudomonadati; Pseudomonadota; Gammaproteobacteria; Enterobacterales; Enterobacteriaceae.
GGUUAAGCGACUAAGCGUACACGGUGGAUGCCCUGGCAGUCAGAGGCGAUGAAGGACGUGCUAAUCUGCGAUAAGCGUCGGUAAGGUGAUAUGAACCGUUAUAACCGGCGAUUUCCGAAUGGGGAAACCCAGUGUGUUUCGACACACUAUCAUUAACUGAAUCCAUAGGUUAAUGAGGCGAACCGGGGGAACUGAAACAUCUAAGUACCCCGAGGAAAAGAAAUCAACCGAGAUUCCCCCAGUAGCGGCGAGCGAACGGGGAGCAGCCCAGAGCCUGAAUCAGUGUGUGUGUUAGUGGAAGCGUCUGGAAAGGCGCGCGAUACAGGGUGACAGCCCCGUACACAAAAAUGCACAUGCUGUGAGCUCGAUGAGUAGGGCGGGACACGUGGUAUCCUGUCUGAAUAUGGGGGGACCAUCCUCCAAGGCUAAAUACUCCUGACUGACCGAUAGUGAACCAGUACCGUGAGGGAAAGGCGAAAAGAACCCCGGCGAGGGGAGUGAAAAAGAACCUGAAACCGUGUACGUACAAGCAGUGGGAGCCUCUUUUAUGGGGUGACUGCGUACCUUUUGUAUAAUGGGUCAGCGACUUAUAUUCUGUAGCAAGGUUAACCGAAUAGGGGAGCCGAAGGGAAACCGAGUCUUAACUGGGCGUUAAGUUGCAGGGUAUAGACCCGAAACCCGGUGAUCUAGCCAUGGGCAGGUUGAAGGUUGGGUAACACUAACUGGAGGACCGAACCGACUAAUGUUGAAAAAUUAGCGGAUGACUUGUGGCUGGGGGUGAAAGGCCAAUCAAACCGGGAGAUAGCUGGUUCUCCCCGAAAGCUAUUUAGGUAGCGCCUCGUGAAUUCAUCUCCGGGGGUAGAGCACUGUUUCGGCAAGGGGGUCAUCCCGACUUACCAACCCGAUGCAAACUGCGAAUACCGGAGAAUGUUAUCACGGGAGACACACGGCGGGUGCUAACGUCCGUCGUGAAGAGGGAAACAACCCAGACCGCCAGCUAAGGUCCCAAAGUCAUGGUUAAGUGGGAAACGAUGUGGGAAGGCCCAGACAGCCAGGAUGUUGGCUUAGAAGCAGCCAUCAUUUAAAGAAAGCGUAAUAGCUCACUGGUCGAGUCGGCCUGCGCGGAAGAUGUAACGGGGCUAAACCAUGCACCGAAGCUGCGGCAGCGACGCUUAUGCGUUGUUGGGUAGGGGAGCGUUCUGUAAGCCUGUGAAGGUGUGCUGUGAGGCAUGCUGGAGGUAUCAGAAGUGCGAAUGCUGACAUAAGUAACGAUAAAGCGGGUGAAAAGCCCGCUCGCCGGAAGACCAAGGGUUCCUGUCCAACGUUAAUCGGGGCAGGGUGAGUCGACCCCUAAGGCGAGGCCGAAAGGCGUAGUCGAUGGGAAACAGGUUAAUAUUCCUGUACUUGGUGUUACUGCGAAGGGGGGACGGAGAAGGCUAUGUUGGCCGGGCGACGGUUGUCCCGGUUUAAGCGUGUAGGCUGGUUUUCCAGGCAAAUCCGGAAAAUCAAGGCUGAGGCGUGAUGACGAGGCACUACGGUGCUGAAGCAACAAAUGCCCUGCUUCCAGGAAAAGCCUCUAAGCAUCAGGUAACAUCAAAUCGUACCCCAAACCGACACAGGUGGUCAGGUAGAGAAUACCAAGGCGCUUGAGAGAACUCGGGUGAAGGAACUAGGCAAAAUGGUGCCGUAACUUCGGGAGAAGGCACGCUGAUAUGUAGGUGAAGCGACUUGCUCGUGGAGCUGAAAUCAGUCGAAGAUACCAGCUGGCUGCAACUGUUUAUUAAAAACACAGCACUGUGCAAACACGAAAGUGGACGUAUACGGUGUGACGCCUGCCCGGUGCCGGAAGGUUAAUUGAUGGGGUCAGCGCAAGCGAAGCUCUUGAUCGAAGCCCCGGUAAACGGCGGCCGUAACUAUAACGGUCCUAAGGUAGCGAAAUUCCUUGUCGGGUAAGUUCCGACCUGCACGAAUGGCGUAAUGAUGGCCAGGCUGUCUCCACCCGAGACUCAGUGAAAUUGAACUCGCUGUGAAGAUGCAGUGUACCCGCGGCAAGACGGAAAGACCCCGUGAACCUUUACUAUAGCUUGACACUGAACAUUGAGCCUUGAUGUGUAGGAUAGGUGGGAGGCUUUGAAGUGUGGACGCCAGUCUGCAUGGAGCCGACCUUGAAAUACCACCCUUUAAUGUUUGAUGUUCUAACGUUGACCCGUAAUCCGGGUUGCGGACAGUGUCUGGUGGGUAGUUUGACUGGGGCGGUCUCCUCCUAAAGAGUAACGGAGGAGCACGAAGGUUGGCUAAUCCUGGUCGGACAUCAGGAGGUUAGUGCAAUGGCAUAAGCCAGCUUGACUGCGAGCGUGACGGCGCGAGCAGGUGCGAAAGCAGGUCAUAGUGAUCCGGUGGUUCUGAAUGGAAGGGCCAUCGCUCAACGGAUAAAAGGUACUCCGGGGAUAACAGGCUGAUACCGCCCAAGAGUUCAUAUCGACGGCGGUGUUUGGCACCUCGAUGUCGGCUCAUCACAUCCUGGGGCUGAAGUAGGUCCCAAGGGUAUGGCUGUUCGCCAUUUAAAGUGGUACGCGAGCUGGGUUUAGAACGUCGUGAGACAGUUCGGUCCCUAUCUGCCGUGGGCGCUGGAGAACUGAGGGGGGCUGCUCCUAGUACGAGAGGACCGGAGUGGACGCAUCACUGGUGUUCGGGUUGUCAUGCCAAUGGCACUGCCCGGUAGCUAAAUGCGGAAGAGAUAAGUGCUGAAAGCAUCUAAGCACGAAACUUGCCCCGAGAUGAGUUCUCCCUGACUCCUUGAGAGUCCUGAAGGAACGUUGAAGACGACGACGUUGAUAGGCCGGGUGUGUAAGCGCAGCGAUGCGUUGAGCUAACCGGUACUAAUGAACCGUGAGGCUUAACCUU